Molecule: long non-coding RNA, 466 nt
Filed under: Sorghum bicolor (sorghum)
Lineage: Eukaryota; Viridiplantae; Streptophyta; Magnoliopsida; Poales; Poaceae
Description: long non-coding RNA (SBIC_LNC012763)
Source: RNAcentral
CCGAAAGGUUCUGGUAACUCUCGAUUUGGUGGAGACGAGACACAAAUCGAUCCGGCUUCCGAACAACACGAUCUGAAAGCCUACAAUUUUUUUUAUUUUUUUGAUAUUUUUCUUUGAGUUCGGAGCACCAAAGGAGCAACCACAGAAAAUUUGAGCUUAAACAUGUGAAAGACAUGGCCUGUGGAAUUUUCUGAAGAUUGUGGAAAAUGUGAAAAAACUUCGCGAGGUGAAAACUCAGACUUCGGAGGUGAAUUUGGAGGUUUUAAAGUUUUCAAACCCCCCAAUGGAGGGGACACACAGAUCCAAAAAAUUUUUCUAAUCGAUUUUGAUAUAUGGAACAUUGAAAUCGGAGUUCGUAUGCGAAAGUUAUGGUUAUUUUACGAACGGACUCCGAAUUAGAGGACAAAACGGUCCGAAAGUGAGAAUAAUUUGCGGUGGUGGCUAGAAAUUGAUGGAAACAGUGGGG